This 368-nucleotide ribosomal RNA is filed under the name uncultured bacterium. RNAcentral's name for it is "bacterial SSU rRNA". It matches the Rfam family "Bacterial small subunit ribosomal RNA", at positions 29 to 376 of the family's 1533-position model. The record is from RNAcentral.
AGCGAACGUUAGCGGCGGGCUUAACACAUGCAAGUCGAGCGAGAAAAGGGCUUCGGCUCUGAGUAAAGCGGCGGACGGGUGAGUAACACGUAGGUAAUCUUCCUUCGAGCGGGGGACAACGUUCCGAAAGGGACGCUAAUACCGCAUACGUUCCCAGAGACCUCGGUCUUUGGGAGGAAAGCUAGCUAGGUAGCAAUACUUGGCCGGCACUCGAUGAGGAGCCUGCGUCGCAUCAGCUAGUUGGUGGGGUAACGGCCUACCAAGGCGAAGACGCGUAGCUGGUCUGAGAGGAUGAUCAGCCACACUGGGACUGAGACACGGCCCAGACUCCUACGGGAGGCAGCAGUAAGGAAUAUUGGUCAAUGGGC